RNAcentral lists this ribosomal RNA (254 nucleotides) under uncultured bacterium. Its description in RNAcentral is "partial 16S ribosomal RNA". It matches the Rfam family "Bacterial small subunit ribosomal RNA", at positions 524 to 776 of the family's 1533-position model. The record is from RNAcentral.
UACGUAGGUGGCAAGCGUUUGUCCGGAUUUAUUGGGUUUAAAGGGUGCGUAGGCGGUUUUGUAAGUCAGUGGUGAAAUACUCCAGCUUAACUGGAGGGGUGCCAAUGAUACUGCAGAACUUGAGUACAGAUGAGGUAGGCGGAAUUGACGGUGUAGCGGUGAAAUGCAUAGAUACCAUCAAGAACACCGAUUGCGAAGGCAGCUUACUAAGCUGUAACUGACGCUGAGGCACGAAAGCGUGGGGAUCGAACAGG